GACGAACGCUGGCGGCGUGCUUAACACAUGCAAGUCGAACGGAAAGGCCCUGCUUUUGUGGGGUGCUCGAGUGGCGAACGGGUGAGUAACACGUGAGUAACCUGCCCUUGACUUUGGGAUAACUUCAGGAACUGGGGCUAAUACCGGAUAGGAGCUCCUGCUGCAUGGUGGGGGUUGGAAAGUUUCGGCGGUUGGGGAUGGACUCGCGGCUUAUCAGCUUGUUGGUGGGGUAGUGGCUUACCAAGGCUUUGACGGGUAGCCGGCCUGAGAGGGUGACCGGCCACAUUGGGACUGAGAUACGGCCCAGACUCCUACGGGAGGCAGCAGUGGGGAAUAUUGCACAAUGGGCGGAAGCCUGAUGCAGCAACGCCGCGUGCGGGAUGACGGCCUUCGGGUUGUAAACCGCUUUCGCCUGUGACGAAGCGUGAGUGACGGUAAUGUGUAAAGAAGCACCGGCUAACUACGUG
RNAcentral lists this ribosomal RNA (467 nucleotides) under uncultured bacterium. RNAcentral describes it as "partial 16S ribosomal RNA". It matches the Rfam family "Bacterial small subunit ribosomal RNA", at positions 28 to 507 of the family's 1533-position model. The record is from RNAcentral.